CAGCACCCGCGCUAAUACCAGCCCCACGAGUGGUCGGGACGGUUAUUGGGCCUAAAGCGCCGUAGCCGGCCCAGCAAGUUCCUGCCUAAAUCACCGGGCUCAACCCGGUGAAUGGUGGGAAUACUGCUGGGCUAGGAGGCGGGAGAGGCCGGGGGUACUCCUAGGGUAGGGGCGAAAUCCUAUAAUCCCAGGAGGACCACCAGUGGCGAAGGCGCCCGGCUGGAACGCGCUCGACGGUGAGGGGCGAAAGCUGGGGGAGCAAACCGGAUUAGAUACCCGGGUAGUCCCAGCUGUAAACGAUGCGGACUAGGUGUUGGACGGACCUAGAGUCCGUCCAGUGCCGCAGGGAAGCCGUUAAGUCCCGCCGCCUGGG
This 373-nucleotide ribosomal RNA is filed under the name uncultured Fervidicoccus sp. RNAcentral's name for it is "bacterial SSU rRNA". It matches the Rfam family "Archaeal small subunit ribosomal RNA", at positions 459 to 832 of the family's 1478-position model. Lineage: Archaea; Thermoproteati; Thermoproteota; Thermoprotei; Fervidicoccales; Fervidicoccaceae. The record is from RNAcentral.